Long non-coding RNA from Mesocricetus auratus (golden hamster), 1466 nucleotides. RefSeq lists it as uncharacterized. The record is from RefSeq and is a predicted model, not a curated record. The transcript has 4 exons. NCBI's taxonomy places the organism in Eukaryota, Metazoa, Chordata, Mammalia, Rodentia, Cricetidae.
UGAUUUCUGCGUGUGACCAUAGUUAACAUGAAAGCCAUCCCUAUGCUCUGAGUCAGCAACGGCAGGGAUGACAUUGGACAAGAUGUCAUCAUAGAUGUCAACGGUAGGGAUGACAUUGGACAAGACCAAUAUGGAUCCUCACGAAUCUGGCACCGGGUGGAUCUGCCCACAGGAUUUCAAUGGUCACUAGGGACCUGCAGCGCGUGACAUUAGAAGGCGAGAUAGGAAGAACCGGGAAACAACCCCGGUACUGGCAUAGGUAUUCAUCUGGGUUGAACUGAAGGACAAGACUGUUGAAAAUGCAGACGAGCUGUUGGCCCUGGCCCACAUGGAGAGAGAGUAUGCCGGCCGGGCUCCUGGACUCACACAGCAGUGCCUGUUACACUGAAGUUUGAAAUGCUGACCCUCCAUGGCUUUCCCACUGAGGCUGAUCUAAGGAAGCUGGGUUGUGGCUUGGCUGCCAGGGUUUUCAAAGCUUCUCAGGCGAUUCCAGCCACGCCAAGCACUACUGCUGUCUGCUCUCCCCACUCCAGAGGCUGGAGAUCAGCUUCUGCUGACCCAUCCUUCUCUACUGUGACAAGAACCCCCGUGGAUCGAUCACCUUAGACAUCAGGUUCUGAGGGCAGAGACUUUGCAUUUGGGACCAGCUUUCAGGUGAUUCUGUGGCUCUGGGAACCACAAGGAAAGGGAGAUAAUCUGAUAACCACACCUCCCUGACACUGACCACCUGCAGUCACUUAGUGUCACCUACUUAGUUUCCACAAUGGUAUGAAUUUUACUAGAAGGUGUCUGAGUGAAAACCACGUCUUACAACUUGCAUGAGGCUCCAGUCCUCACAGCUGGACAGCUCCUUUCUCCUGCCACUGAGUUUGCUCCCAUGGAUCCUGAACCUGGCCACUUCUGCUUCCAGGAUUUAGCAUCUCAAAUUGCCUCAUUGGCCUAUGUCGGCCCCAUCUUGGGGUACUAGAAGGCAUGAGGGAGGCAGGACUGUGAAGAUUAGAAGAUAGUUGAGCUCUGAUCUUGUGGCCUCCUGGACUUUUGACCUUGAGCAAGUUUUCUGACGUCUCUGAGCCUUACUGUCCUUACAUAUAGAGGCAUGAAGAUGGCCACCUCAUAUCGGUGUGAUGCAGUAAGAAGAUGUAUAUAUAUAUAUCAGAGACUGCCAUGCUCAACAACCAAUAAUUAUUUCACUGAGGAAAUUAGAAAAAAGUUUUUUCUCUCUUUUUGAGACAGGGACUCACUAUAUGUAGCCCUGGCUAGCCUUGAUUAGCUGCGUACACCAGGCUGGCUUUUUUUUUUUUUACUUCGUUGAUUCUUUGUGGAUUUCACAUCAUGCAUUCUGAUCCCACUUAUAUCCUUGUCUCCUCAAACUCACCCUCUGCCCUUACAACCCCUCAAAUUAAAACCAAAUGUAAAAGAAAAACCAACAACCAAUCAAAGAAACAAAAUAAAAACAAUAACAAUAA